AUAUGUUUAGCCCAAGACUAUUAUAAAACAGCAUCUGGAAGUUUCUAUAAUCCUAAAACCUAAAAAGUUCUGGAGUCUCUCUCCCAUCGUUAUUUGCCUUCUCUUUUCUCACAACUUUUUUCCGGAGAUUUUCUGGUUCACGUUCCAAGAGGAGAUUAAAUAAUCAAAGGAGCAAAUGAAGAUAUCGGAGUCAUCUGGGAAAAAGGAAGAGUUCAAUGAAGAGAUUGUGGAGAUACAAGAGAAACAAAGGAAGUGUAAAGAAAGGAUUGAAGAACUGAUAGAAGAUAGGAAAAUCAUUGAAAAAUUACAAAAAGACAAAUUAGAGUUAAUGAAAGAGGAAGUAGAGUUAAUGAAAGAGGAAGUAGAGAUAAUGAAAGAGAUGAUGAAAAACACAGCAGAGAUAAUGGAGAAACAACUCAAAGUAAUUGUAUAUGAAGAUGAAAUUGAAAGUAUGCUGCUAAAACUACUUUUUCUGUGGUGGGAUAAGAAGAAGCUUUGAAGGAGGGAUUCGUGCAUGGGAAGAUAUUUAUUUGAAUGUUGUGAAUUAUCGAAUUACAUCUUGAUGAAUAAUUUAUCAAGGUCCAAUCUAGUUUUCUUUCAUUGAAUUGAAUGAUUUAUCACUUAAAUUUUUUCUCUAA
Long non-coding RNA from Trifolium pratense (red clover), 638 nucleotides. RefSeq lists it as uncharacterized. The transcript has 2 exons. Lineage: Eukaryota; Viridiplantae; Streptophyta; Magnoliopsida; Fabales; Fabaceae. The record is from RefSeq and is a predicted model, not a curated record.